Molecule: non-coding RNA, 5452 nt
Organism: Cherax quadricarinatus
Lineage: Eukaryota; Metazoa; Arthropoda; Malacostraca; Decapoda; Parastacidae
Source: RefSeq, a predicted model, not a curated record
UGUCACAUUAGUUGUAAUUGUGUCCUUUUACCUAACAUGCAUGAACAUGUAAGGUAAAAGGACACAUGAGCAUGAGCAUAUUAAGAGAGAAUGGAGACAAAUCGUUUUUAGGACUUGAUGUGUUGAGAUGAAUGGUUUUGAAAACUGACAAAUUGAAGAAUUGAGACAUUUAUGCAACAUAUGGGAAUCUUUAUUGAAGAAAUGUUUUGCCACACAGUGGCUUCAUCAGUCUUUUACAAAGCAGGAAGGUGUAAGGAGAGGAGUAGUUUGGGGUAAUCAGUUCCUCAACCUGGAGUUGAUGUGUUCAGUCCAUCAGUCUUGUAUAAAGUACAGCACAGGGCCAUAGCAGUGGCUUAUGUACUGUAGUCAGGUGAGGCAAAGCAGGAAGAGGUGGGGUCAUAGUGAAACCAUCCACUAGUCUAAGUAGGUCUUCGUCCAAAGAUUGGACAAGUUUUGAAGAAUAAGAGGAUGAUGCCCAUUGAAUUAAAGCAUGAAAUCAUAGAAAAACAUGAGCGAGGUGUACGUGUAGUGGACUUGGCGAAACAGUACGAGCGUAGUAUUUCUAUAAUAGGUACCAUUCUAAAGCAGGAGUAGUCAAUAAAGGCUAUAAUCUCAGCCAAGGGCAUUAAAAUAAUUUCUACGCUGCAGAUAUCUGUCUAUGAAAAGAUGGAGAAGCUGCUGGAGUUUAUGAUGAAUGAGAGCAACCGAAAAAGCACAAAACGAAAUGAGCUCCUCCAAUCUCCUCUGCCUAUCUUUUGCACCCUCCACCUCUGCCAGCAUUUUUCGUUAGCCCAAGUUGUCUGAUCUCCAAGUUUGUGCUGACACUGUCAGUACAGCAGUGACUCUCAGUGUUACCCAACUCAAAUAAAUGUCAGCAACACUGAGGAUAGCUACUGUCAGCAGCAAGUUUAAUGGAACACUGUCAGACUAUUGACUGAAGUUUCCUUGAUGCCAGAGACUAGCUUUUGAUCCAAGAACUAGAGCCUGACUUCUCCUUCCUUGGAUCAGUGGUGAUUUCUCCUCAAGGUGACGUACAACUCCUUGGGGUUUAGUGUUCCAUCCUCCCCUGAGUAUAUCAAGAAUGUAAUACAUUCUCAGAUAAAAUAUAUAUUACUAAGUUACACUAUCUUGAGUACACAUGUACUUUUAAGUGUGUUUUAAUACACACUGUACUUAUCCAAGCUUCUCAUGUACAUAGUUAUCAACUCAUGUAGUACAAUAAUCAGCCUUGCAUGAAGGUCGAUGUUAUUAUGAAUAAGUUGGAAAUUUCUCUUGUAAAUUAAGGGCAGCAUCAUAAGAGCAGAAUAGGGAUUUAUUAAGAAUGUAAAAAUGUUGGAAUGAAUUAGACACAACUCUUCAUAAGUUGUACAGUGUGUGUUGCAGUUUGUAUUGAACAUUGUGUGUUGCAGUUUGUAUUGAACAUUGUGUGUUGCAGUUUGUAUUGAACAUUGUGUGUUGCAGUUUGUAUUGAACAUUGUGUGUUGCAGUUAGUGUUGAACAUUGUGUGUUGCAGUUAGUAUUGAACAUUGUGUGCUGCAGUUAGUAUUGAACAUUGUGUGUUGCAGUUAGUAUUGAACAUUGUGUGCUGCAGUUAGUAUUGAACAUUGUGUGCUGCAGUUAGUAUUGAACAUUGUGUGCUGCAGUUAGUAUUGAACAUUGUGUGCUGCAGUUAGUAUUGAACAUUGUGUGCUGCAGUUAGUAUUGAACAUUGUGUGCUGCAGUUAGUAUUCAACAUUGUGUGCUGCAGUUAGUAUUGAACAUUGUGUGCUGCAGUUAGUAUUGAACAUUGUGUGCUGCAGUUAGUAUUGAACAUUGUGUGUUGCAGUUAGUAUUGAACAUUGUGUGCUGCAGUUAGUAUUGAACAUUGUGUGUUGCAGUUAGUAUUGAACAUUGUGUGCUGCAGUUAGUAUUGAACAUUGUGUGCUGCAGUUAGUAUUGAACAUUGUGUGUUGCAGUUAGUAUUUAACUGAGCUACUCUAGGUAAAUCCCUAGUCUUGAACUGUUCUUUAGAAUUAGUGUAACCAAGAGUGUGUUAGAGUGUACACAUUAUAUCUCAUGUUCAAUACUGUAAAUGACCAGUUAAAACACUCGUUAUAAAUGCCAGUUUGCCUUUUUUACAGAAUUCUCAGUUUUUUCCCUUCAUGGAAAUAUUAGUCAUAAUCUUACCCCUGCUAUGAAAAUAUUAGCUAUAAUAUUAUCCCUACUUUUGAAAUAUUAUUCGUAGUAUUAUUACUACUUAUGGCUUUUAGAUAUAUUCAUUAAUCUUAUUUUAUUUCCUGAUAUUUUCCUCAUUUACAGUACUUUAGAAUUUUUUGUUUUGUCAUAAGAGUUAAUAUUUAUGUAUUUGUUUAUUUUACUAAUAAUCAUGAUAAUAAAACUUGAACUUGAAAAAGUUUGUUGAUGCAAACUUUACUGACUACAGUGUAUUGUCUUUAUAUUCAACUUUACUGACUACAGUGUAUUGUCUUUAUAUUCAACUUUACUGACUACAGUGUAUUGUCUUUAUAUUCAACUUUACUGACUACAGUGUAUUGUCUUUAUAUUCAACUUUACUGACUACAUUAUAUUACUUUAUUUUCAACUUUUUAAAACUGUGUUAUUUUUAUUUCUAUUUGAUUUAUAUUUAUAAAGUUGAAUAUUGAUACACAUAUAUUGGUGAAAUUAGAAUUAAGUGUUGAAUAUGUAACAUAAUUUGAUGUUAUGUGAGUUUCACUAACUCCCAUUUAAACAAUAACUUCCUAGCACCAUUUAAACAAUAACUUCCUAGCACCAUUUAAACAAUAACUUCCUAGCACCAUUUAAACAAUAACUUCCUAGCACCAUUUAAACAAUAACUUCCUAGCACCAUUUAAACAAUAACUUCCUAGCACCAUUUAAACAUAACUUCCUAGCACCAUUUAAACAAUAACCUAGCAACAUUUAAACAAUAACCUCCUAGCACCAUUUAAACACUAACUUCCUAGCACCAUUUAAACAAUAACUUCCUAGCACCAUUUAAACAAUAACUUCCUAGCACCAUUUAAACAAUAACCUAGCAACAUUUAAACAAUAACCUCCUAGCACCAUUUAAACAAUAACCUCCUUGCACCAUUUAAACAAUAACUUCCUAGCACCAUUUAAACAAUAACCUCCUAGCACCAUUUAAACAAUAACCUCCUAGCACCAUUUAAACAAUAACCUCCUAGCACCAUUUAAACAAUAACUUCCUAACACCAUUUAAACAAUAACCUCCUAGCACCAUUUAAACAAUAACCUCCUAGCACCAUUUAAACAAUAACCUCCUAGCACCAUUUAAACAAUAACUUCCUAGCACCAUUUAAACAAUAACCUCCUAGCACCAUUUAAACAAUAACCUCCUAGCACCAUUUAAACAAUAACUUCCUAGCACCAUUUAAACAAUAACCUCCUAGCACCAUUUAAACAAUAACCUCCUAGCACCAUUUAAACAAUAACUUCCUAACACCAUUUAAACAAUAACCUCCUUGCACCAUUUAAACAAUAACCUCCUAGCACUAUUUAAACAAUAACCUCCUAGCACCAUUUAAACAAUAACCUCCUAGCACCAUUUAAACAAUAACCUCCUAGCACCAUUUAAACAAUAACUUCCUAGCACCAUUUAAACAAUAACCUCCUAGCAUCCACUUAAACAGUAACCUUUCCUAGCAUCACUUAAGUUAAUAACCUCCCUAGCAUGCACUUAAACAAUAACCUCCCCUAGUAUCCAUCUAAACAAGUACAUGACCUGGUGUAGCACCUACUUAAACAAGUGCAUGACCUAGUGUACCACCUACUUAAACAGGUUAAUGACCUAUCUUAGCACCCACUUGAAGAAACAUUUUUGUUCUUUAAACAACUAUAGCUAAGCACAUUGGAAAGUUAUUAUAUUAUUCAAUAAGAUUUAAAAUAAAAGCAACUGAAGUACAUUGUAAUAGUUGCUUUUGUUAGUGAAUACAAACCCUCUUAAUUCUUUAAUAUUUACACAUUAAUGUGUUGUUUACAAGAGUUCAUUAGGAAAGAAUUUCCUGUCAGUCGCUUAAUUAUUUUUUUGGAAAAGUCUUCAUUAAGAGAAUACAUUAAAUGUGAAGCAGUGUACUCUAGAAAUGAAUGCUCAAAAAUUUCAGAGUAAUGUAGUGUUGUCUAUGUGAAUGUCUUAAUUUGAUAAAAAUAAAUCUAUUGACUUUGACAAAAAUAUUAAAGUAUUUGUUAUAGAUCUAUUUCGUGUUUAAAACUUGAAAUAAAAUAUAGCAGACAUGAGUGUUCAUGCAGCCAAGAAAUUGUUUCAAUGUCAGUUUUGUCAAAAAGUGCUUCCAUGUAAUUCUAAAUUCUUGAGACACCUUAGAAGUCACACAGGGGAGAAGCCAUAUCAUUGUUCAAUUUGCCAGAAAGACUUUAUUGAGAUAACCUUAUUAAAACAACAUCAGAGGAUUCAUACUGGAGAGAAACCAUACCAGUGUCCACAAUGUCUUAAAAACUUCAACUAUAUAGCCUCACUUAAACAACAUCAGAGAAUUCAUACUGGAGAAAAACCAUUUCAGUGUUUAAUAUGUCAAAAUAACUUUAAACAGAGAGGUCAUCUUAGCACACACAUGAGAAUUCAUACAGGAGAGAAACCAUACCAAUGUUCAUUGUGUCCAAAAAAGUUUACCACCAAAACUUCUCUAGUGAAACACACAUACAGUCAUACUGGAGAGAAACCAUACCAAUGCUCAGAGUGUCCAAAAGCAUACUCAAAACAAUGUGCUCUGGUUGCUCAUUCAGCAAUCCACACAGGACAUAGACCAUUCAAGUGUUCAGAGUGUCAGAAAGAUUUCUCAGCAAAAUCAAGAUUAGCAAAACAUAUAAAAACUCACACUAAAGAGAGACGAUAUAAUUGCUCAGUGUGUUCAGAAAGGUUUUCAAGAAAAUUGUGUUUAGAAAAACACAUGAAAACUCAUGCUGGGCACCAGUAUCGAUGUUCAAGGUGUCUAGAAAGUUUCUUGAAUAAGACUAACCUAGUAGAUCACAUGAGGACUCAUAUACAAGAAGGAAUAAAUAUUAAUGAUUAGUGUCCAAAAAUCUUUAAAUAAAAUUGUAUCUUGUUAAACUUAUGAUGAUUCUGGCUUUGGCUAAAAGCCCAAGUAUUGUAGUUUGAAAUGUUAUUUGUGUAGUUUGAAGGGUUAUUGGUGUAGUUUGAAGGGUCAUUUGUGCAGUUUGAAGGGUUAUUGGUGUGUUUGAAGGGACAUUGGCAGUUUGAAAGGUUAUUGGUGAAUUUGAAGGGACAUUCUCAAAUUAUGAUGACUAUGCAUUAAUGACAAAGCAGCUUUUUAAUGUAUAGUUGUGAUUUUUAUUGUUUUUGUCACCCUGCCUGGGUAGGGGAGAGCUGGUGGGCUCAAGAAACAAUGUAUCAGGUUUGGCCCAUGUGUUAAAAGAUGAUGUAACAAGAAUAAACUAACAAUAAAGUAGACUAAAGUUG